CGGAGGGUGCAAGCGUUAUCCGGAUUCACUGGGUUUAAAGGGUGCGUAGGUGGGUUUGUAAGUCAGUGGUGAAGUCUCCGAGCUUAACUCGGAAACUGCCAUUGAUACUAUAGAUCUUGAAUUAUCUGGAGGUGAGCGGAAUAUGUCAUGUAGCGGUGAAAUGCUUAGAUAUGACAUAGAACACCAAUUGCGAAGGCAGCUCACUACGGAUAUAUUGACACUGAGGCACGAAAGCGUGGGGAUCAAACAGGAUUAGAUACCCUGGUAGUCCACGCCCUAAACGAUGGAUACUCGACAUCAGCGAUACACUGUUGGUGUCUGAGCGAAAGCAUUAAGUAUCCCACCUGGGAAGUACGACCGCAAGGUUG
RNAcentral lists this ribosomal RNA (368 nucleotides) under uncultured organism. RNAcentral describes it as "bacterial SSU rRNA". It matches the Rfam family "Bacterial small subunit ribosomal RNA", at positions 526 to 896 of the family's 1533-position model. The record is from RNAcentral.